Molecule: ribosomal RNA, 253 nt
Filed under: uncultured bacterium
Lineage: Bacteria
Description: partial 16S ribosomal RNA
Rfam family: Bacterial small subunit ribosomal RNA
Source: RNAcentral
UACGUAGGGUGCGAGCGUUACUCGGAAUUACUGGGCGUAAAGCGUGCGCAGGCGGUUAUGUAAGUCAGGGGUGAAAUCCCCGGGCUUAACCUGGGAACUGCAUUUGUGACUGCAUAGCUAGAGUACGGUAGAGGGGGAUGGAAUUCCGCGUGUAGCAGUGAAAUGCGUAGAUAUGCGGAGGAACACCGAUGGCGAAGGCAAUCCCCUGGACCUGUACUGACGCUCAUGCACGAAAGCGUGGGGAGCAAACAGG